This 92-nucleotide transfer RNA is filed under the name Alphaproteobacteria bacterium. Its description in RNAcentral is "tRNA-Ser". It matches the Rfam family "tRNA". From Rfam's summary of the family: Transfer RNA (tRNA) molecules are approximately 80 nucleotides in length. Their secondary structure includes four short double-helical elements and three loops (D, anti-codon, and T loops). Lineage: Bacteria; Pseudomonadati; Pseudomonadota; Alphaproteobacteria. RNAcentral also lists the same sequence under 2 other names. The record is from RNAcentral.
GGAGAGGUGGCCGAGUGGCUGAAGGCGGCGGUUUGCUAAAUCGUUGAAGGGGGAAACCCUUUCCGGGGGUUCGAAUCCCUUCCUCUCCGCCA